ACGGAGGGUGCGAGCGUUGUCCGGAAUCACUGGGCGUAAAGGGCGCGUAGGCGGCGCGAGGAGUCGGGGGUGAAAGUCCGGGGCUCAACCCCGGAUCGGCCUUCGAUACUCUCGCGCUGGAGCACAGUAGAGGCGGGUGGAAUUCCGGGUGUAGCGGUGGAAUGCGUAGAGAUCCGGAAGAACACCGGUGGCGAAGGCGGCCAUCUGGGCCGGCACUGACGCUGAGGCGCGAAAGCCAGGGGAGCGAAUGGGA
This 253-nucleotide ribosomal RNA is filed under the name uncultured prokaryote. Its description in RNAcentral is "partial 16S ribosomal RNA". It matches the Rfam family "Bacterial small subunit ribosomal RNA", at positions 525 to 777 of the family's 1533-position model. The record is from RNAcentral.